RNAcentral lists this ribosomal RNA (492 nucleotides) under uncultured bacterium. RNAcentral describes it as "partial 16S ribosomal RNA". It matches the Rfam family "Bacterial small subunit ribosomal RNA", at positions 29 to 507 of the family's 1533-position model. The record is from RNAcentral.
AGUGAACGCUGGCGGUAGGCCUAACACAUGCAAGUCGAACGGCAGCACAGUAAGAGCUUGCUCUUACGGGUGGCGAGUGGCGGACGGGUGAGGAAUACAUCGGAAUCUACUUUUUCGUGGGGGAUAACGUAGGGAAACUUACGCUAAUACCGCAUACGACCUACGGGUGAAAGCAGGGGAUCUUCGGACCUUGCGCGAUUGAAUGAGCCGAUGUCGGAUUAGCUAGUUGGCGGGGUAAAGGCCCACCAAGGCGACGAUCCGUAGCUGGUCUGAGAGGAUGAUCGGCCACACUGGAACUGAGACACGGUCCAGACUCCUACGGGAGGCAGCAGUGGGGAAUAUUGGACAAUGGGCGCAAGCCUGAUCCAGCCAUACCGCGUGGGUGAAGAAGGCCUUCGGAUUGUAAAGCCCUUUUGUUGGGAAAGAAAAGCAGCAGGUUAAUACCCCGCUGUUCUGACGGUACCCAAAGAAUAAGCACCGGCUAACUUCGUG